AACGCUAGCUACAGGCUUAACACAUGCAAGUCGAGGGGCAUCAGGAAGAAAGCUUGCUUUCUUUGCUGGCGACCGGCGCACGGGUGAGUAACACGUAUCCAACCUGCCCUUUACUCGGGGAUAGCCUUUCGAAAGAAAGAUUAAUACCCGAUGGCAUAAUGAUUCCGCAUGGUUUCAUUAUUAAAGGAUUCCGGUAAAGGAUGGGGAUGCGUUCCAUUAGGUUGUUGGUGAGGUAACGGCUCACCAAGCCUUCGAUGGAUAGGGGUUCUGAGAGGAAGGUCCCCCACAUUGGAACUGAGACACGGUCCAAACUCCUACGGGAGGCAGCAGUGAGGAAUAUUGGUCAAUGGGCGCUAGCCUGAACCAGCCAAGUAGCGUGAAGGAUGAAGGCUCUAUGGGUCGUAAACUUCUUUUAUAUAAGAAUAAAGUGCAGUAUGUAUACUGUUUUGUAUGUAUUAUAUGAAUAAGGAUCGGCUAACUCCGUGCCAGCAGCCGCGGUAAUACGGAGGAUCCGAGCGUUAUCCGGAUUUAUUGGGUUUAAAGGGAGCGUAGGUGGACUGGUAAGUCAGUUGUGAAAGUUUGCGGCUCAACCGUAAAAUUGCAGUUGAUACUGUCAGUCUUGAGUACAGUAGAGGUGGGCGGAAUUCGUGGUGUAGCGGUGAAAUGCUUAGAUAUCACGAAGAACUCCGAUUGCGAAGGCAGCUCACUGGACUGCAACUGACACUGAUGCUCGAAAGUGUGGGUAUCAAACAGGAUUAGAUACCCUGGUAGUCCACACAGUAAACGAUGAAUACUCGCUGUUUGCGAUAUACAGUAAGCGGCCAAGCGAAAGCAUUAAGUAUUCCACCUGGGGAGUACGCCGGCAACGGUGAAACUCAAAGGAAUUGACGGGGGCCCGCACAAGCGGAGGAACAUGUGGUUUAAUUCGAUGAUACGCGAGGAACCUUACCCGGGCUUAAAUUGCAGUGGAAUGAUGUGGAAACAUGUCAGUGAGCAAUCACCGCUGUGAAGGUGCUGCAUGGUUGUCGUCAGCUCGUGCCGUGAGGUGUCGGCUUAAGUGCCAUAACGAGCGCAACCCUUAUCUUUAGUUACUAACAGGUUAUGCUGAGGACUCUAGAGAGACUGCCGUCGUAAGAUGUGAGGAAGGUGGGGAUGACGUCAAAUCAGCACGGCCCUUACGUCCGGGGCUACACACGUGUUACAAUGGGGGGUACAGAAGGCAGCUAGCGGGUGACCGUAUGCUAAUCCCAAAAGCCUCUCUCAGUUCGGAUCGAAGUCUGCAACCCGACUUCGUGAAGCUGGAUUCGCUAGUAAUCGCGCAUCAGCCACGGCGCGGUGAAUACGUUCCCGGGCCUUGUACACACCGCCCGUCAAGCCAUGGGAGCCGGGGGUACCUGAAGUACGUAACCGCAAGGAUCGUCCUAGGGUAAAACUGGUGACUGGGGCUAA
This 1449-nucleotide ribosomal RNA is filed under the name uncultured organism. RNAcentral's name for it is "SSU rRNA". It matches the Rfam family "Bacterial small subunit ribosomal RNA". The record is from RNAcentral.